RNAcentral lists this long non-coding RNA (618 nucleotides) under Bemisia tabaci. RNAcentral's name for it is "lncRNA ENSSSA2NGG003631". The record is from RNAcentral. Lineage: Eukaryota; Metazoa; Arthropoda; Insecta; Hemiptera; Aleyrodidae.
AUGAUGAUGAGUAAAUUUUGGUUUAAAGUUUUUAAAACUUCUAGAUUAACUAAUUUUGACCGGAGCAUAAAUAAACAUGGAAUAAACUUUAUUUUUAGUAAUGAUAACAAUACCACCGGUGUAAGUGCCUUCAACCAUUCUUUUGUUCGCCUGUACCAUGAAGUGGACGCUCACGAUAUACCAAAUGUGUCUGUCUCCAAGAUGAAACGCUUCUUAGAGCUGAAUGGUCUUGGAGUUAAGGAUGGCUAUGCUUGUCUCAUCACCUCUUGCAAAUUCUGCUCCAGUGCCACAAAAGACUCAGCAUUAUUUGUCAACAAAGUUACUGGAUUCUAUCAAUGCUCUAACUGUGGAAUUUCUGGUCAGUGGAGCACAUUGCAGAAUCAAAUCAACAAGAAAGGAGAAGGAGAGCUGCCCAAACCAGAGCACGUCAUCAAAGAUGACCCUGCUGAUUCGAAGUGGCGUGAACUCAGUGAAAAAUUACAAAAUUUGUCAUCACUUCCUCCUAAUGAAAGGAGCAAAAUCAUUGAGAAAUUUGACCUAAAGGGUCUAUCAAAAAAUGUGAUCACUCAACUAGGUAUUCUUGUGGACUCGGAAAAACCACUUUGUAUUUUCCUCUGA